Molecule: ribosomal RNA, 656 nt
Filed under: Kondoa phyllada
Lineage: Eukaryota; Fungi; Basidiomycota; Agaricostilbomycetes; Agaricostilbales; Kondoaceae
Description: LSU rRNA
Rfam family: Eukaryotic large subunit ribosomal RNA
Source: RNAcentral
UUGCCAUUUCAAUAAGCGGAGGAAAAGAAACUAACAAGGAUUCCCCUAGUAACGGCGAGUGAAGUGGGAAGAGCUCAACUUUGUAAUCUGGCUGUUUCACAGUCCGAGUUGUAGUCUAGAGAAGUGUUGCCCGUGCUGGCGCUUGUAGAUUUGUGUUGGAAUACACAGUCAUAGAGGGUGAGAAUCCCGUAUUUAACAAGCUGCUCAUGUACAUUGUGGUGCGCUUUCAAAGAGUCAGGUUGUUUGGGAAUGCAGCCUAAAGUGGGUGGUAAAUUCCAUCUAAAGCUAAAUAUUGGCGAGAGACCGAUAGCGAACAAGUACCGUGAGGGAAAGAUGAAAAGCACUUUGGAAAGAGAAUGAAAUAGUACCUGAAAUUGCUGAAAGGGAAACGAUUGAAGUUAGACUUGCGCGGUUUGGAUUCAGCCUUGACUUCGGUCUUGGUGUAUUUCCUUGCCAUUUGCAGGCCAACAUCAGUUUACUUUGCUGUAAAAGGGUGUUAGGAAUGUGGCUUCUCCGGGAGUGUUAUAGCCUUUCACUGGAUGCAGAAUCGUAGACUGAGGAACGCAGUGCGCCUUUAUGGCAAAGCUUUCGGGCUUCGAGCACUUAGGAUGUUGGUAGAAUAGCUUUAAACGACCCGUCUUGAAACACCGGACCCA